CCUUCCCUAAGUUCUCCCAGGGCGCUGCCAGAGCCCUGCCGGCUAAGGGAUGGGGAAACAAACAGGUGGGGCUGUAAUCUCGUAAUUCCCAGUCAAAAGAGGUAGGAAGGGAUGCUGAGGACCCAGGGAUACUGAUGAUUGGGCUGACCCAGAAGUGGCCAUCUUUGUGGAAACCAGGCUGGAGUGCAAUGGUGUGAUCUCAGCUCACUGCAACCUCCACCUCCAGGGUUCAAGCAAUUCUACUGCCUCAGCCUCCCGAGUAGCUGGCAUUACAGGCGCAUGCAACCACGCCCAGCUAAUUUUUUGCAUUUUUAGUAGAGACGGGGUUUCACCGUGUUGGCUAGGCUGGUCUCAAACUCCUGAUCUCAGGUCAUCUGCCUGCCUCAGCCUCCCAAAGUGCUGCAAUCACAGGCAUGAGCCACCUGGCCUGUUUUUUAAAAAGCCUAAGCCUGUUGACCCCAGGCUCCACAAUCUUCAAUUUUCCGAGUCUCAGUUUUUUUUUCAUGAGUAAAAUAGAGGUAAUACCUACCUCACAGAGAUUUUGUGAAGAUUAAAUGAAACAGUGUCUGGACCAUAAGUGCCCAAUAUAAAGUCAUCCAGAGUAAAGUCAUAGGGCUCAAAGUCUUUCCGGAAGCGGCGAGCCAGGGUCUCCUCGUCUUCCUUGCUGAUCUGACACUGCCUCCAGUCAGACUUAUCAGGAACAUUAAGGAUGGCUUCACUGGCCAGGACCUCCCUGCAGAAAUAGCACAAAGAAGUCAAAAUGGAAACUAUCAGCCUGAGCUCUCCUCAACAUCACCCAAAGGAGGGGACUCAGGCCCACGUAACAGCAGCACAAGCCCAAUGUCAACAAAACAACUAUCUUGGCUCUUAGGACUAAAGAAUAACUACAUACAGACACACUCACACACAAGCUGCCUUCUAAUCGCCAUUGCUUUAUAUUUUUAUUUUUACUUAUUUUGAUAUAUUAGAAAUAAUUCUAUUACACAUUUAUAUGGUUCAUUUUCCACUUUGAAGUUACAGUAAAUAGAAGAGUUAGAAACAAAUCAUGAAUUCUCUAUAAGUCAAAGAACCUAAGCUCCCUGGGCAAACUUUGAGCCUAUUUCAAAUAUAAAAGGAAAAUAGAACUACCUUUCUUGUACAGCUGAAAAAAAUAUGCCAUUUCAAAUAUUUUGUUAACUAUAAAAUGCUAUAUAACUAUAAAUUAGUAUCUUGAUAAUUACUCAAUAUUGAAAAUACAUCAUAAGCACAAAACCAUUCAGAGAAUCUUCUUUUUGUGUGCUUUAUACGCCUAUGUGUAUCUGCAAUCGUGUGCUUAUGUUGUCAAUGUUCAUAACCGCAUCUGUUGCUGAGGCAACAACGAAAACAUCACGUCAGAUGUCUGAAUCUCGUAGCACACUUGUUCCCAUUUAUCUUUUUGAAAAAUGUAGACAACUACAUUUACUGGACUUAUCUAAGGGGGCAAUCUCUUGGAGGCUUUCUGAAUUAGUCCAAGACAGGUUCAAGGCUCACUCAAAGCCCAUUUUUAACUAGGGGAGAAAAAACAGCUGCAAAUCACAGACACCAGCAUCAGAUACUCUGUUCUACACAUUUUCCACUCCCCUUCAAACUGUAUCUUCUUGCCAGCAACUUCCCAUCUUCAAUCUUUGCUUAAGUUAUGUUACUCCCUCUAUGGUUUUGCAGUCAUGUUUUGCCUGAUACGAGGAACAGAACUGAAGCCUCCUCUAGGCCUUUACCAUACUGUAGAACACUGAGGUUAAGACCUCAAGUUUUGAGGUCCAACAGGCCUGGGUUUGAACCUACCACUGUGUGACUAGGACAAGCUACCUAAGCUCUCUACAGCCUGCUAUCCAGUGGGGUAACCAUUAGCCAGGUAUGGCUAUUUAAAUUUAAAUUCUAAUUAAUUAAAUAAAAUCAAAAAUUUAGUUCCUCA
Molecule: long non-coding RNA, 1930 nt
Organism: Homo sapiens (human)
Lineage: Eukaryota; Metazoa; Chordata; Mammalia; Primates; Hominidae
Gene: CHUK-DT
Product: CHUK divergent transcript
Exons: 5
Source: RefSeq, marked validated